This is a long non-coding RNA of Acinonyx jubatus (cheetah), 11313 nucleotides long. RefSeq lists it as uncharacterized. NCBI's taxonomy places the organism in Eukaryota, Metazoa, Chordata, Mammalia, Carnivora, Felidae. The transcript has 2 exons. The record is from RefSeq and is a predicted model, not a curated record.
CUGUGGCCCCUAUCAUAUGGUAGAUUCUCCAUAAACAUUUGUCAAUCUAGCACACAUCUAGUUCUUACCAGAUUGCUCCGGUGCUGUGAGCCCAAGAAUGGGAAAAUGAAAGCUGGAUAGAGUAAAUGGUGAUUCGUGCUAGGAUUGUAAUUCUGGCCCUGACCUUUGACUCUGUUUGAAAAUCUUUAUUGCUAGAUGCCAGUGGAAGCAGCAGCUGUUACAGAGCUAUUAGGGGUGUGGCAAUUUCUGCUCCCAAAGCCAAAACUGUUUACUGGGGAAGCUUUGGCUUUACUGCUGUUGAUUCCCUCGACAAGUUUGUAUUAUUUCCACGUCAAUAAUGACGAAGGACUAGGGAGGAAAAAUGGAGGCAAGAGAGAGCCUAGAAUUGUAAUUGUGUGUUAUUGGCAUAGGCAUCAGGAUUGGGAUUUGGGGGGUAUUUGGGUCAAGAGGAAAGCUAGAAAGCAGAGAAGUUACCUCUCCCCCCCCGCCCCCCGCCACAGCCAGGAGUGAUAUUCUGUGUGUGAGUGGCUCGCCCAUUGUGUCUGUGACGGAUGCAUAGAGUUCUGAGUGGUGUCUUGCGAGGAAGUAUUCUCUUCCCAACAAUGAGGACCUCGUGAGUCACCGCACAGUGAGGUUCUGUGGGAUGGACAUGUGGGAGAAUUCGUAACGGCUAGAAGAAGUUGAGUUCUCAUGAUGCAGUUUGUGGACAAUGGGUGCACGAGUCUGUUUCGGAAGAUGGUUUGUGUAUCACUGGCGCAAGGAUGAUGCAGUGGUCUCUUGAGUGGGGUGUCCCAAAGAAGAGAAUUAGGAUGGCUGAUUCAUCCGUGCAAGAGAGCCUUAUUGAGCCCAAAUUAUGUGCCGUUGUGGAAAGUAGAAAAGAAUCCAAGUGAAUACAAACGCAGCUUCUGCCCUGAAGGGGCUCCACAGACUUGUGGAAGAGAUAGGCAAGCAAAAAUGAUUAUAUACCAUGAGGUAAGUCCUUAUAGAGGGAUGGCCAACACACUAAGUGAAACUCUACUCUUAAUGGAUGGAGAGAGGUAACACAACAAAAGAAAACCAAAAAAAAAAAAACAGGAGAAAAUUUGACCAGAGCCUUUUCCCUCUAUUUUUCAACACUUCUUUCGAACUUCUGUUGUAUUGAGUAGGUCCCUUUUUUUUUUUUAUUAAAAAAAAUUUUUUGUAAAUAUUUAUAUUUGAGAGAAAGGGUAGACAGAACAUGAGCGGGAGAGAGGCAGAGAGAGAGGGAAACACAGAAUCCGAAGCAGGCUCCAGGCUCUGAGCUGUCAGCACAGAGCCUGACGCGGGCCUCAAACCCACGAACCGAGAGAUCGUGACCGGAGCUGAAGUCAGACACUUGACCCAGUGAGCCACCCAGGUGCCACGUAGGUCUCUUUUGAUUGUCAGUCAACCCACCUCGAGGGGCGCCUGGGUGGCUCAGUUGGCUGAGUAUCCGGCUCUUGAUUUCAGCUCAGGUCAUGAUCUCACAGUUCCUGGGAUCAAGCUCUGUGCCAAUGGUGGGGAGCCUGCUUGGGAUCUUCUCUGUCUCUGCCCCUUCCCAGCUCUCUGUUUCAGAUGAAAAAAGAAAAAAACACACAAAACCCAACCAACUGGAAUUGUUAUAAGCCAAGCUGCGAAUUUGAUUGGCUCCUAUGUGAGGAAAAGAGUCCAAAAGCAACAUAGUUGCAGCCAGGGCUGGCUCCAGGGGUUCCACUCUUUAGGGAAGCUGUGUCGAUAAGCAGGAAUCGCCCCUCCACCCCCCCCCCCACACCCCCCCCCCCCCCCCCCCGGCUUCCAACGUCUUCAGUUCAAGUCCCAGGGGGACAAAGAAUACCUUUCACUGUGGCUAGAGCCCCAGGAUUGACUCUGAAGGUAUCUGAUGGGGUCAGUGGCCUUUCCCUGGACAUGGAAAUGGAGUCAGCCCCACGCAAGCCACAGGGGCCUAGAAUGGGAGGGUGCUGAGCCCCCUCCCCCGCAAGAUAACCCGGGUGUUCUUACCAGCAGGAGGCAGGAAGUGUGGUCUUUUCUAGUCCUGCUAAAAGGAAAGAAAGAGCUUUUUGGAAAUCCCUGACGCAGAGAAUCCAGUAGCUGCGGAUGGCAGUUGGCGUGGAGGGUAUGGAGGCAGGGGUGCACCAAGGUGGGGAACUUGUGCAUUUGGUUGUGAGGUCGAUGAGUCCAGGAGGACAGGGAUCUGGGGGCCUAAUAGCAGAGUUGACUACGUGGGUGAGGCUCUGGAAGGGAGUGUCUCUUUGGAUGUCGGCUUCUGCCAAGAUGGAAGCUCUCCCUGGAGGCCUGAAUGUUCUCCUAGAUAGUAGCCUUUAGAUAAGUCAGGGUUGCAAACUCCAAGCCUCAGGGGGCCAGGCUAAUAAGAAGAAAAUAAGAGCGACUUAGACCAGGUGAGGGCCGUGGGAGACUCGACGGCGCCUGUCUUACCAAAGGGCUGUGUGAGAAUAUGGGCCCGCUGUCGGGCCCGACCUUUGGAGUUGUUGAGAAAGGCCUAAAUCCUUCUGGAUUUUCAUGAAGAUGAGGUGGCAUUUAAUGCCAAUUGAAAACAACCACCAGGACCCUGAACGGGACUAAACAAAAUACAUCUGUGGCCAGAUUUGGUCAGUGGGUCACCAGUGGGCAGUUGCUUAUGUAAAAGGUUGGGGAGGUGAAGAUUCCUGUGGUGAUUUUUCUCUUUUUCCUCCUGCACCCCACCCUCCUAUUACUACCUUCUGAGUUCUUGGGUUUGUCGACGAGCUCGUCCUUUCCUUUACAGAAACGUUUCAGAGAUCCAAGAGUAGCCAUCAUCACUACUUCUCUCCUGGUUUCGUUUACCAAGUGCUGUACCGAACCACCUAGCCUGGUCUCACCUACUGGUGCUUGUUAUCAUAUCUGGUUUAGAGAGAAGAAAAAUGACCUGCCGUUGUCUGCCCGGCCAGCGAGUGGCCGAGGCAGGACUUGGGGCCAGGGUGUGACUCUGGACCCCGUGUGUUUCCGACUGUAGACACUGGGCCGGCUGUCUGCCAGGGAAGGGUUCCUGUGGAUGAAAUGUCUUUGGUGCUUGCUGACUUGCUGGGCUAGAUGCUUUUGAGUCAAGUCUCUCGCUGCCUUCUCAACAGCAACUCCCAGAGGUGAUGUUAUUUAUUCCUGGCUUAAUGAUGAGGAAGCGAGGACUCAAAGAGGUCAUCGGGCUAGUUAAUAAGAGCGCUGCCGUUCAUCAGAAACCAGGGUUCUGCUUCCAAAGCAGAUAGAAGUCCUUACUUCACGCAGGCAACUCUUUCUUUAAGAAACCACGUGUUAGAAUUCUGUGUGACGACGCUUCCACAGAAUCCUAGAAGCUGAGAGUUGGAUGUUGCUCUCGCCCAGGAGCUCCUGCCAGGGAUGGCCCCCUGGGGGACAUUUGGCAAUGGCCGGAGACGUUUUUGUUUUUGUCGUGACUUGGCUCGGGCGUGGGGUGCUCCUGGCAUCUGGCGACACAGGCCGGGGAUGCUGCUGACCAGCCUACACCGCCCAGGACAGCCUCGCCGCAGAGAAUUAUCUGGUCCCAAAUGUCAAGAGUGGUGAGGUUGGGAAAGCCUGGUCGAGUCCUUUGAGAUUCUGGAUACGUGAAUCAUGAAAACCAAAGAUCCGUGAUGUUUGCCUGCAGGGUGAAGAUGUGUUCUGUUUGGUCUAUUUCUUAUGUGUGGAAGUAUUAAUGACAAUCACUGGCCCACAUUUAACACUUGGGAGUUUUCACGUGGAAACCUGGACUUCCAGCUUCUCAAAUCUUGCAAGACCUAGCGAAGCCUGGCAUCGCGCCUCGCGAGAGUACACGUCGUCGUGGCUGCAGCUGCGUAGGUGCUGUCCCGUCUGGGUGGGGCAUCGACCGUCCAGUGUGCCCUGGUCCCUACCUGGCUUGUCCUGCUGGGGUACAUUCCUUGCGGACCCCUCCCUGCUCACAGAUCUCUCAACAACCUUCUCCAGGAGCGGCAGAGUCUCUGCCUCGUGAGGUAGCCCGUUGCGUUAGGGGCAACGUGAGUCAAAGCCAUCUCUGCCCGGGAGGUGGCUGUGCUUGGUUCGCUUCAGUCUGGGUGGAUCCCGUCGAGCCUCUGCAUAGAGCAGAGGAGGAGAGGAAUGUGUUCUCCCCACGACUUCUGAAUCCGAGCUUCCAUGGCCUGCUCAUCCACUGUAUUACCUCCUGUGAAAUCAAACAGGGUUGUUUAUAGGUGAGUGAAGAAAGCCCGUGGUUCACUGAACCAAGAUGAACCCUAAACAGAUGUGCUCACGUGUGGCCUUAUGGCGUUGGUUUUACACGUGAAGGCAGCAUGUUAUUCUAAGAGGAAACGAUGUCUGUGGUCGUGGUCCACAGCAGCCCCCUGCCCCCGAGAUUGGACAUGGGUAUAUGGUAUAGGGUCCCAGAGUCAGUAUGCACACCACGCAGUCUUGUCGGACUGGAGAUGUUUGGCCUUUAUGAUUCUGUUUCUCUUUCUCAAAUGUAGGCAGGUGCCAUCGUUAUCAAUCAAGUGUAGAUCCAUGUACAAAUAUUAUUACACUCCUAUCUGCUGUGUGUGUCUAUUUUCUUAAACGUGGGUGUUAAAAGUACAACAGGCCCACAGUCCUUUUUCCAAAACCCUAGGGGCCAGAUGAGUUUUGGAAUUCAGACGUUUUCAGAUUUUAUUUUAUUUAAAAAAAAAAAUUUUUUUAAUGUUUAUUGAUUUUUGACAGAGAGACUGAGCAUGAACGGGGGAGAGUCAGAGAGAGGGAGACACAGAAUCUGAAACAGGCUCCAGGCUCUGAGCUGUCAGCACAGGGCCCGACGCGGGGCUCGAACUCACGGACCGGGAGAUCAUGACCCGAGCCGAAGUCGGACGCUUAACCGACGGAGCCACCCAGGCGCCCCUUUUUCAGAUUUUAGAAAAGUAAAAAUGUACAUAUGCUGUUACUGUAUAAUCCAUGGUGUGGGUCAGCAUCCCUUCAUUGAAUAUGUUAAUAUUUCUAGAGUGAAAAUAUAAAGGUACUUCAUGCUAAAUGGAACACUUAAAGAUUGUAAAUGGCUUCAUAUUAGUUCAGGUCAAGUUUUAUUACCAAAUAAGUUACCAAAAAACCUUGUUUUUUAGAUUUCAAAAUGAUGGAUAAGGGGUUAUGGAGCUGGUUUACUCAGUAGUAAUGCUCCUAUUGAGAGAGUCUGAGAUGGUUUUUUGUUUUUUUGUUUUGUUUUGUUUUUUUGCCUUUUACUCUACGUAAUGCCCCCUUACUCCAAAAAGUUAGAAACCACAAUGAUGUUCUGUAACUAGGGGGUCACAGACUCAAGUGCUAGGCAGGUAAAAUUAAUAAGCGAAGGGAAGGUAGAUGUAGGGCAGUAGAGAGAGGCGAGGAAUAGCAAAACUAGCUCAUUGCACGGGCUUGCUUGCUCUUGGCAAGUCUAGUUACCUGUUGACAUGGUGAAUGUGGGUGCAGGAACACCCACCUUCUCAUUUUUAAGGAUACUCCAGAACGGUGAUUUUUUUUUGUGAAGUUUAUUGAUACUUAAAUAUCAGCAAUGAAAAAGGAAAAGAAAAGAAACCGCUGGACGUAGGCCAGAGAAAAUCUAUCUGCAAGCUUUAUCUGGCCUUGGGCUGCCUGCUCUGACCUCUAGCUGCGAGACUGAUUCUUACCGAAUGAAAAGUUGGACCGUGGUGUUUUGGUAGUGAACGCUUUCUCGAGAUGGGGAUGGGACAUUUGCUUUAUCACUAUUCGUUGUGCUUUACAUAUAUGUCACAUAAUUUUGCAGUCAGAUGCUCUACCCCUAAGCUAUACCCCCUAUUAUAUAAUUUUGGAGCGUAAAAUAUUUCAAAAGAAAAACACUGGAGCACUGCCUUAUUUUCUAGCCAGUGGGAAGUUUUCUUUCUCAUCUAUGAAUUUGAAAGUUUAAUGUUAUUUAUUUUGGAAAAGGGAAUGAGAACCCCAAGUUAAAAUAGGGCCCUCUUUUUUAAAAAGUUUGAGUGAAGGGGGGUUAGAUUAUAAUGUCCCUGCCUUUCCAGGGCCACAGUGAUCUGAAGUGCCAUUGCAUGUCCGCCCCCGUAUUUGGACUGGGAGGUGUGCCUCAUCUUCUGUCCUCUCAGACCGUAUCCCUGGUCCUAUCCCCAUACCUACUGCCACACGGCUGAUGACUUUCAACUUGAUGUCUUUUCUUUUUUUUUUGAGUUUAUUUAUUUUGGGAGAGAGAGAGAGAGAGCGAGAGAGAGAGGGAGUGCACACAAGCAGGGAAAGGGCAGAGAGAGAGGAAAAGAGAAUCCCAAGCAGGCUCCACACUGUGAGGGCGGAGCCUGACGCGAGGCUCAAACUCACAAACCAGGAGAUCGUGACCUGAGCCGAGAUCAAGAGUCAGAUGCUUAACCGACUGAACCCCUCUGGGUGCUCCUUAAUUUUAUGUCUCUAGUCCUGGCAUCUCUUCAUCUCUAGAUUGAUCUUUGUCUUGAACUUCUCUAUUUAAAAGUCCGGCUGAAAUUCAGCUCAUGAACUGCAUCCUCAAAUUGGCCUUCUUUCCCUGUAUUCCUUAGGCCGUGGGUCAGCAACCUCUGGCCUGUAGGCCAAAUCCUGCCCACUGCCUGUUUUGUGAAAAAGGGUUAUUGGAUCACAGCCACGCACUGCAGCAGCACAGUCAAGCAGAUCUCACGGUGACUGUAUGGCCCACGGAGCCCAUGCUAUUUACCGCCUGGCCCUUUGCAGGAAGAGUUUGUGGACACCCGCCCUGGCGCACUGAAUGCCGGAACCGCAUCUCCUCUGUCACCUGCGAUCCCCCUCUUUCUCCUCCAUCUUCUUUAUAUCCAGGCUCUCCCUGCCAUCUGGCAGCUCUGCCUCUGGACUGUCUUCUGACUUGGUCUCUGCCUCUUGGUGGCCUUAGUUAGUUCAAGCUUGCGGGGUUUUUUCUUUCUUUCUUCUUUUUUUUUUUAAUGAAAUGUAUUGUCAAAUUGGUUUCCAUACAACACCCAGUGUUCAUCCCAACAGGUGCCCUCCUCAAGGCCCAUCACCCGCUUUCCUCUCCCCCCCCACCCCCCAUCAACUCUCAGUUUGUUCUCCGUAUUUAAGAGUCUCUUCCGGUUUGAACUUUUUUUUUUUUUUUAACCUGGACUCACAAUUGUCUUCCAACUGGCUUAGCUGGCUUGAGCUGGAUUUUAUCCAUACGUGGGACAUCUGGGCCUCCACUUUGGUCUGACAUGGCCAAUCCAAAUUUUAAUGGUCAGAGCUAUUCCUCUCAAUUAUUUUCUUCUGAUGAAAUCAUGGCGUUCGUAGGACAUUUUAUGUCGUCCUAGUAUUGCUAAAUUGUCUUCGAAACGAUAGUGCUGUCAUUGAGUUACAGUGCGGCAAAUAAUUUACACUGGAUUGUAUGUCACCGUGCGUGAUAUGAUGAAUGUUGUGUUUCACCGUCACGCUGUGCUGACUUUUAGAUGCUGUCUUGUAAAAAAUCUACCUAUUUUAAUUUUUUCUGUUAAGGUUGAAAUGAAUGUGUCCCAUAUUUGUAUUUCUUGAUGCGUUUCCUAUAUGUGUUAUUUGGUCAUUUAAUUGCCAGUUGUCAAUUUCAUUUUUUAAUCACCAGUUUCGGUUCAACACCUGUCUGCUGAGAACCUGUCAAUGCUGGGGUUAAAAAGAUAACGGAUUCCUAGGAAUUUGAGUGGGGAGAGAGACCUACAAGCAGAUAAUUUGAAUACAGCCGGUUGUACUUACUCCAGCAGGCCUUAGGAAGUAUGAAUGCCACAUCUUGAUUUAUUUAUACAUGACAAGGUAAACAAGUUCACAUUCUUCUCAGGUACAUUACGUAAUGAGUGCAGUGACAGAAUCUUGAGGGAACGCAUUCACGACUAGGUACAGGUUUGAUACAAGAUUCAGAAAAUAAAGCGGAUUCUGUUGAAAAUCCGACCGACCCUGUGGUUUAUAGAAGAAACUGUUUUUGAAUAGGAGGAGCCUCUUUGUAGCCAGCGACACGAAAACAAUAUUAAGUUCAUCUCAGCUCUCCAGGUUUUAAGACUCGUUUCUGAAGUCUUGCUAUUCCCUGUGAAUUACAGCUUAUUAAUUACUUGCCUAGACUCCUUCCUUUUGAUUGGUCCCAGCAUGUUUCUCUCUGUCUUUUCUCACAGUUCUUUUUUUUACGUGUCUUCCUUAUCAGAGAUACUUCGGCCUAGUUGUCCACUUGAUCCCUCCAUUCAUGUUUCAUUAGCAGUUUUUCUGUCAUUUCUGAACGGGUUCGUUAAAUUUCUGCCUCCUAAAGAGUUUAUAGUAUAAGCGGUAGACUGAGUGACAAGGUACUCAAAUGAAAAUAAAUGUUCAGAACUGCACAGAAAUUCUCCUAAGCAAUGACCAGCUCCAUUUAUAAGUCUACCAGCUUGGACUUCACGUGGUCGCUGGAUACUUUGAUGCAUAGACAGGACUGGCCACUUGAACCCAUGCGCAUCUGUACCUUGGGGAAAUACACGAAAGUACUUCUACUUCACUAGGUACGGUGGGUGCAGGAUAGAUGUAGCGUGGGCGCUGGCAUGGGGUCGCUGAGACGUGCCCAGGGGUCUGUGAAGCCUUCUCUGACAUGUGACACUUGAAUAAUCUUGAGAACAGGAAGGUAGGGGUGAUGGGUGGUAGAGGAUUCCCAGGGAGAAGAAAAAUUCUCGGGGGAAACCUAACCCACUGACCAUUUUGUCCUUUAACUUCAUGUUUUGUUUGCUUGUUUGUUUACUAUAAAUUGGAAAAAGACGACACUAUCUGAUUGCUAGCAGUGGGAAAAGUCUGUCCAGCUCUUAUUUUCUAAUGAGGUAGUGAACUAAUGGCUGUUUGUAGAUCCAUAUGUUCUUAAGUCCAGAGCAAUUGUGGUGUUUAAAUUCACAAGCCUCUGGAUGCAUUUCCAUCCAAUAGAUAGAGUAAGUUGGUUCUUAAAAGCUUUGAAGCUCUAAAAUCAGGGGACUUAAAUGGCUCAUAGUUAAGUAACCAGCUCUUGAUUUCGGCUCAGGUCAUGAUCCCACGGUUCAUGGGUUCAAGCCCCAUCCCGUGUCAGGCUCUGCGCUGAUAGCUUGAAGCCUGCUUAGGAUUCUCUCUCUCCCUCUCUCAACCCCUCCCCACUUGUUCUCUCUCUCUUCUCUCAAAAUAAAUCAACAUUAGUAAACAAGGUUUAAAACCAGUGUACCCUUAUUUUCUUUGCUUAAUAAAAACGGACAGCCAUCUUCCCCCAAAAUAGACAAUUUUUAAUUUUUUCUGCUAAGGUUGAAAUGAAUGUGUCCCAUAUUUGUAUGGGAAAAUCUGUGGAGGCAUCAUUUCUCACGGUGAAGCUUAUCCUUUCCUUAAUUUGCAUCAUGCUUGUUCAUCUCCCCUUAAAACCUUUUCACUACUCUCACGGCUUUUACCUUCUUGGACAUGCUAGGAUGUGUAACGUUCCUCAAACAACCCCAAGAUGGCAGGACUAAAACACACGAACACCUGUGACCGUGGACGUCAACUUUUAGAGACGGGCAGUAUUGAUCGGCCUUUGUGCUCAUCGGUGGAGGACCAUUGUUCGAAAAGCUUCCGGGCCAGUUUUGGGGGAUCGUGGUUUGAGGACCACUGCAGUAGAAUUGGGGGAGCCCAUAUGUGCAGAAGGUUGAGGAAGCCAAGCUGGUGAUUGAGGAGGUGUCCUGUGGUGGCAGGUGAGCCAGGACUGUGGAGGAAGGGGAAGGGACACGAGUGAAAGACGAGGCAGGAAGCAGGAAGCAGGAAGCGAUCGCAGCAGCCUGAGGGAGAGGUGAUGGCCCCCAGAGCAGGACAAUGGCGUGGGACUGACGUGAGAAACUAUUUAGCACCAUGGCUUUAGGGGCGAAGAAGGGAGGGGUUGGCGUGAUUCGGGUUAUGUCUGGAUGUUAUUUACUGAAAUCGGUGACGCAGUGAUUAUUCGCUUUUCCAUUCGUUUCAAAUGCUUCUCUUUUUUGAACCAUAGAAUUCUCACACCUGCCUCGACUUUCUGUUGACUUUGUUUUCAUUGACACGUGGCUUCGGGUGGGUGUGUUUGUGCGCACCGACACCACACGGUGCUAAUAAUAACUGUGGAUGUGUCAUGUGUUCUCACUCUGGCAGAGCUGGGCUCCUUUGGCUUUCCUUUUUCAGUUGCUGUCUCCCAUUUCUGUGUAGAAGUGAAUUUUGGUAUCGUUUCUAGUUCCUAGAAAAAUUCUAUGAUUGUGAUUGGUCGAGAGCACAUUAAUCCAUAUAUUCAGUGGGUCCCUGCUAUGGGGUGGGUCCUGAGAACCCAAAAAUAAGUAAAUCCCAGGCAUUGAUGGCCUGGCAUAUCUGUGAACUAAACUUUGGGGAGGAUUGAUGUCCUUUCCCGUGAGCCUGGCACAUCUCUUUCUACACACAAAGGUUUUCUGUGCUUCCUGAGGGCUUUGUUGUCAUAGGAAGAGUGCCUGAUUAGUUCAGUUGGCAAACGUGAGUGGUGUUCAUGUCUGUCUAUAUCUUUAUGUACUAAAUAAAGAUGUGCUAAAUUAGUCAUAGCUGAUCAUUUUUGUGACUUCUUUGAAUUUCUGCGUAUGUAUUAUCUAUGUUUUUAUUUCUCCUUUUCCUUUUCUUUCAGCAAUUUCUUUUUCAUCCCUCAUUUAAUUGGUUAGCCUCGAAAAUAAUGUGUAGCUGUAUAAUUGUUUAUAGCAAUAUUGUCUAAAGGGCGUGUGAUUUCACCCUAAUUAGGCGUUCCAGAAAUGUGGUAAGGUGAACUCGUGUUUAAAUGCGAAUGUCCUAAUCUGAGUGGUUCUCAGUGGAAAUCUACAAGCAUUUUCCCUCUGCUUUUGGAGCCACACACCUUGUAGUGUGUCUGAUGUUUGAGCCUUUGUUCCAAGGCUCAGUCAUAAGAUUGGCAGGCGUGUGGCUUAAAGGCAGAAUACUGAAUUGAGGUAGCCUAACCGUAUGGAGAAAACAAUCACAGUGCACUUGGACGGAGGAAGGAACUGGAAGAGAAAUUUGAAAUGCAGCCUAUGUGGCAAUAGGUUUUUAUUUGUUUCGUUAGUUUUAAUUUUUAAAAGGUUUUUAUUUUUGAGAGAGAGAGAGAAAAUGUGAGCAGGGGAGGGGCAGAGAGAGAGGGAGACACAGAAUCUGAAGCAGGCUCCGGGCUCUGAGCUGUCAGCACAGAGCCCAGCACGGGGCUCAAACCUACAAAUCGCGAAAUCGUGACAGGAGCUGACGUCGGAUGCUUAAUUGACUGAGCCACCCAGGCGCCCCGGCAAUAUAUGUUAAUAUAACUUCUAAAGAAGUGAUCAGCAGGUCACAGGGCAGUGGACUUAACUGCAGCCUUUGACUCUUAGAACAGUCUUUAGGAAUAGAAACCUUGCUCCCUGUAGAUGUGACAUGGAGGUUCUGACGGCCUCUUCCCCC